GCUUACCAUGCAGUCGACGAGGUCCAUGGAGCUUGCUCCGGAAGAUCUAGUGGCGAACGGGCGCGUAACACGUGAGAAACCUGCCCCGAUCUCUGGGAUAACAGUUGGAAACGACUGCUAAUACCGGAUGCCGUCACACCGCUUCAUGGCGGAGUGCCGAAAGAUUUAUCGGAUCGGGAGGGUCUCGCGGCCUAUCAGCUAGUUGGAGAGGUAACGGCUCACCAAGGCAUCGACGGGUAGCUGGUCUGAGAGGAUGAUCAGCCACACUGGGACUGAGACACGGCCCAGACUCCUACGGGAGGCAGCAGUGGGGAAUCUUGCACAAUGGGCGAAAGCCUGAUGCAGCAACGCCGCGUGCGGGAUGAAGGCCCUAGGGUUGUAAACCGCUUUCAGUAGGGAAGAAAAUGACGGUACCUACAGAAGAAGGUGCGGCCAACUACGUGCCAGCAGCCGCGGUGACACGUAGGCACCAAGCGUUAUCCGGAUUUAUUGGGCGUAAAGAGCUCGUAGGCGGUUCGGUAAGUCGGGUGUGAAAACCCUGGGCUCAACCCAGAGACGCCACCCGAUACUGCUGUGACUAGAGUGCGGUAGGGGAGCGGGGAAUUCAUGGUGUAGCGGUGA
Molecule: ribosomal RNA, 621 nt
Filed under: uncultured bacterium
Lineage: Bacteria
Description: bacterial SSU rRNA
Rfam family: Bacterial small subunit ribosomal RNA
Source: RNAcentral